GGUGGGGCCAGUUGUAUGAUCCAGAAUGUUCCCCUGUGGGUGAGAGGAUGCCCUGUCAUUGGCCGCCUGGGUUACAGACCUCCCCACAGCCUCAUCUCGACUUACCUGCCGUUCUCUCCUAGAAUGGCCCAGAGUUGCUGCCUCGCGUGGCCAUGCUGCGUCUUCUGACUUGGGUGAUCGGGACGGGCUCGCCUCGCUUACAGGUUCUGGCUUCAGACACCCUGACCACCCUGUGUGCCAGCAGCAGUGGUGAUGAUGGCUGUGCCUUUGCGGAGCAGGAGGAGGUGGAUGUGCUGCUCUGUGCCUUGCAGUCCCCGUGUGCCAGCGUGCGGGAAACCGUGCUCCGGGGGCUGAUGGAACUCCACAUGGUAUUGCCAGCACCUGAUACCGAUGAGAAGAAUGGCCUGAACCUUCUGCGGAGACUCUGGGUGGUCAAGUUUGACAAGGAGGAGGAGAUCCGGAAGCUGGCUGAGAGGCUCUGGUCAAUGAUGGGCCUAGACCUGCAGCCAGACCUAUGCUCCUUGCUGAUCGACGACGUGAUCUAUCAUGAGGCGGCUG
This 558-nucleotide small RNA is filed under the name Pongo abelii (Sumatran orangutan). Its description in RNAcentral is "retained intron". The record is from RNAcentral. Lineage: Eukaryota; Metazoa; Chordata; Mammalia; Primates; Hominidae.